Portunus trituberculatus (swimming crab) is the source of this 2445-nucleotide long non-coding RNA. RefSeq lists it as uncharacterized. The record is from RefSeq and is a predicted model, not a curated record. The transcript is spliced from 2 exons. NCBI's taxonomy places the organism in Eukaryota, Metazoa, Arthropoda, Malacostraca, Decapoda, Portunidae.
UGAAGACUGUGGCCAUUAAUCUUCUGCCCUCCAUACACCCUUCCUAAUGUCAAUAAAAUGGUCUAAUGGUACACAAAUCUCAAGGUAAAAAUGUGUCCCAGUACUGAAGGGGUUAAUUAAUUCUGGAAGGGUGUUCAAUAUCCGAAUUAUUACAGAUCUAAAACUUAUUAUCUCACGAAACAAUGUCAUUUUAACCCCUUCAGUACUGGGACGCAUUUUUACCUUGAGUUUUUAGUGCAAUUAGAUCAUUUUAUUGACAUUCAGAAGAGUCUUAUGGAAGGUUCUUGAGAUCCAGGGAUUUUGAAGUCCGAGUGUCAAUUGUUCAAGGUAAAGAGCGUUUGAAGUCCAGGCGUGAAUUUUUGAGAUCCAGAGUUUUUGAAAUCCAUUAAGUGAAUUUUUGAGAUCUAAAGAUUUUGAAUAUUUGAAGACUGGGAGUGAAUUAUUAAGAUCUAGAAUAUUUGAAGACCAAGAGUGAAUUAUUAAGGUUUUGAAUAUUUGAAGACCAAGAGUGAAUUAUUAAGAUCUAGGAUAUUUGAAGACCAAGAGUGAAUUAUUAAGAUCUAGGAUAUUUGAAGACCAGGAGUGAAUUAUUAAGAUCUAGGAUAUUUGAAGACCGAGAGUGAAUUAUUGAGAUCUAGGAUAUUUGAAGACCGAGAGUGAAUUAUUAAGGUUUUGAAUAUUUGAAGACCAAGAGUGAAUUAUUAAGGUCUAGGAUAUUUGAAGACCAGGAGUGAAUUAUUAAGAUCUAGGAUAUUUGAAGACCGAGAGUGAAUUAUUGAGAUCUAGGAUAUUUGAAGACCGAGAGUGAAUUAUUAAGGUUUUGAAUAUUUGAAGACCAAGAGUGAAUUAUUAAGGUCUAGGAUAUUUGAAGACCAGGAGUGAAUUAUUAAGAUCUAGGAUAUUUGAAGACCGAGAGUGAAUUAUUGAGAUCUAGGAUAUUUGAAGACCGAGAGUGAAUUAUUAAGGUUUUGAAUAUUUGAAGACCAAGAGUGAAUUAUUAAGGUCUAGGAUAUUUGAAGACCAGGAGUGAAUUAUUAAGGUUUUGAAUAUUUGAAGACCAAGAGUGAAUUAUUAAGAUUUGGAAUAUUUGAAGACCGAGAGUGAAUUAUUGAGAUUUGGAAUAUUUGAAGACCGAGAGUGAAUUUUUGAGAUUUUGAAUAUUUGAAGACCAAGAGUGAAUUAUUAAGAUUUUGAAUAUUUGAAGACCAAGAGUGAAUUAUUAAGGUUUGGAAUAUUUGAAGACCAAGAGUGAAUUAUUAAGGUCUAGGAUAUUUGAAGACCAGGAGUGAAUUUUUGAGAUUUUGAAUAUUUGAAGACCAAGAGUGAAUUAUUAAGGUCUAGGAUAUUUGAAGACCAGAAGUGAAUUUUUGAGAUUUUGAAUAUUUGAAGACCAAGAGUGAAUUUUUGAGAUUUUGAAUAUUUGAAGACCAAGAGUGAAUUUUUGAGAUUGGAAUAUUUGAAGACCAAGAGUGAAUUAUUAAGAUUUGGAAUAUUUGAAGACCAAGAGUGAAUUAUUGAGAUUUUGAAUAUUUGAAGACCGAGAGUGAAUUAUUAAGGUCUGGAAUAUUUGAAGACCGAGAGUAAAUUAUUGAGAUCCAGAGUGUUUGAAGUCCGAGAGUCCACUGUAUUAGUAUUACCCGUAUUAUUAACAACUUCCUUUUAUAAUUUAUUGAAAAAUAUGCCAAAUAAAUUAGUGAUAACACAAACAAAUAUAUUUAAACACACAAAACUUACGUAAAAAAGACAAGUGUUUUUUUUUUUUUUUUUUUUUUUUUUUUUUUGUAAUUUCCUCAAAGAAUUACAUCGAAAACCAAAAAUAAUAGGAUUGAUAAUUCGUGAUACAAAAUUACAUAUAUAUAUAUAAGAGAAUGUUAAUACAGAUUACAUAAACAGUUGUAUGUAGGAGUGAAUAUGUCUUAUCUAAUGAGAUGUAUUGUAAAAAAGAUUGGAUUUUUUUUAACAGUUCUUAAAUAGAUUAGAUUUUUAAUUGUGGUGAUAAUAUUGAUAAGGAAAAGAAGAUGAAGAAGAAGAAAAUAUUGAUAACAAGAAUAAGAAAAACAAGAAAAAUAUGUUUAAUUUUUCGUUUUAGUGCAAAAUUUUAGAAAGUUGGAAAAAUGUGAAAAAAAAUGUUGAAAUUAUGAUUUUUUUUGAACAGUUGAUAAGAAAUAGAUUAGAUUUUUAAUAGUAGUGAUAAUAUUGAUAAGAAAAAGAAGAGGAAGGAAAAUAUGAUGAAGAAGAAGAAGAAUGAGAAAUAUUGAUAAUGAGAUGUAUUGUAAAAAAGAUUGGAUUUUUUUAACAGUUCUUAAAUAGAUUAGAUUUUUAAUUGUGGUGAUAAUAUUGAUAAGGAAAAGAAGAAGAAGAAGAAGAAGAAGGAGAAAAUAUUGAUAACAAGAAUAAGAAAAACAAGAAAAAUAUGUUUAAUUUUUCGUUUUAGUGGAAAAUUUU